This 492-nucleotide ribosomal RNA is filed under the name uncultured bacterium. RNAcentral's name for it is "partial 16S ribosomal RNA". It matches the Rfam family "Bacterial small subunit ribosomal RNA", at positions 29 to 507 of the family's 1533-position model. The record is from RNAcentral.
AGUGAACGCUGGCGGUAGGCCUAACACAUGCAAGUCGAACGGCAGCACAGUAAGAGCUUGCUCUUACGGGUGGCGAGUGGCGGACGGGUGAGGAAUACAUCGGAAUCUACUUUUUCGUGGGGGAUAACGUAGGGAAACUUACGCUAAUACCGCAUACGACCUACGGGUGAAAGCAGGGGAUCUUCGGACCUUGCGCGAUUGAAUGAGCCGAUGUCGGAUUAGCUAGUUGGCGGGGUAAAGGCCCACCAAGGCGACGAUCCGUAGCUGGUCUGAGAGGAUGAUCAGCCACACUGGAACUGAGACACGGUCCAGACUCCUACGGGAGGCAGCAGUGGGGAAUAUUGGACAAUAGGCGCAAGCCUGAUCCAGCCAUACCGCGUGGGUGAAGAAGGCCUUCGGGUUGUAAAGCCCUUUUGUUGGGAAAGAAAAGCAGCAGGUUAAUACCCCGCUGCUCUGACGGUACCCAAAGAAUAAGCACCGGCUAACUUCGUG